GUGGAACUCUGUGACAAGCUCAAACACUACACAACAAUACAACUCCAAGUAAUGUGCCUAUUAGUAUAUCACCGAGCACCCUAACUAUAAAACACAGUGUAAUGUGCAUUUUAUAUACCAGAGCUCUACUGUAAUACAUCUCACUAUAAUAUGUUGUAAUGUUUGUGUUGUCUGUGUAUGUGAUAGGUAUGCUAUGUGUUGGCUGUGUAUGAUAUUUGUAAUGGGUGGAUUAACUGUGUGUGAUAUGCGUGUGUUUGUUGUAGGUGAUAUUUUUUCUGGGUUUAUUGGCUGUGUGUGAUGGAUAUUUAAU
Molecule: non-coding RNA, 310 nt
Organism: Pelobates cultripes (western spadefoot toad)
Lineage: Eukaryota; Metazoa; Chordata; Amphibia; Anura; Pelobatidae
Source: the annotation of a GenBank genome assembly